RNAcentral lists this ribosomal RNA (497 nucleotides) under uncultured bacterium. RNAcentral describes it as "partial 16S ribosomal RNA". It matches the Rfam family "Bacterial small subunit ribosomal RNA", at positions 28 to 507 of the family's 1533-position model. The record is from RNAcentral.
GAUGAACGCUGGCGGCGUGCCUAAUACAUGCAAGUCGAGCGAACAGACGAGGAGCUUGCUCCUCUGACGUUAGCGGCGGACGGGUGAGUAACACGUGGAUAACCUACCUAUAAGACUGGGAUAACUUCGGGAAACCGGAGCUAAUACCGGAUAAUAUAUUGAACCGCAUGGUUCAAUAGUGAAAGACGGUUUUGCUGUCACUUAUAGAUGGAUCCGCGCCGCAUUAGCUAGUUGGUAAGGUAACGGCUUACCAAGGCGACGAUGCGUAGCCGACCUGAGAGGGUAAUCAGCCACACUGGAACUGAGACACGGUCCAGACUCCUACGGGAGGCAGCAGUAGGGAAUCUUCCGCAAUGGGCGAAAGCCUGACGGAGCAACGCCGCGUGAGUGAUGAAGGUCUUCGGAUCGUAAAACUCUGUUAUUAGGGAAGAACAAAUGUGUAAGUAACUAUGCACGUCUUGACGGUACCUAAUCAGAAAGCCACGGCUAACUACGUG